This 497-nucleotide ribosomal RNA is filed under the name uncultured bacterium. Its description in RNAcentral is "partial 16S ribosomal RNA". It matches the Rfam family "Bacterial small subunit ribosomal RNA", at positions 28 to 507 of the family's 1533-position model. The record is from RNAcentral.
GAUGAACGCUGGCGGCGUGCCUAAUACAUGCCAGUCGAGCGAACAGACGAGGAGCUUGCUCCUCUGACGUUAGCGGCGGACGGGUGAGUAACACGUGGAUAACCUACCUAUAAGACUGGGAUAACUUCGGGAAACCGGAGCUAAUACCGGAUAAUAUAUUGAACCGCAUGGUUCAAUAGUGAAAGACGGUUUUGCUGUCACUUAUAGAUGGAUCCGCGCCGCAUUAGCUAGUUGGUAAGGUAACGGCUUACCAAGGCAACGAUGCGUAGCCGACCUGAGAGGGUGAUCGGACACACUGGAACUGAGACACGGUCCAGACUCCUACGGGAGGCAGCAGUAGGGAAUCUUCCGCAAUGGGCGAAAGCCUGACGGAGCAACGCCGCGUGAGUGAUGAAGGUCUUCGGAUCGUAAAACUCUGUUAUUAGGGAAGAACAAAUGUGUAAGUAACUAUGCACGUCUUGACGGUACCUAAUCAGAAAGCCACGGCUAACUACGUG